RNAcentral lists this ribosomal RNA (263 nucleotides) under Eubothrium crassum. RNAcentral's name for it is "partial 18S ribosomal RNA". It matches the Rfam family "Eukaryotic small subunit ribosomal RNA", at positions 1505 to 1764 of the family's 1831-position model. The record is from RNAcentral. Lineage: Eukaryota; Metazoa; Platyhelminthes; Cestoda; Bothriocephalidea; Triaenophoridae.
GGCGGUGGCAACGAGUCUGACCUUCUGGCCCGAAAGGGUUGGGCAAACUGGUCAAUCACCGUCAUGACAGGGAUCGGGGCUUGGAAUUGUUCCCCGUGAACGAGGAAUUCCUAGUAAGUGCAAGUCAUAAGCUUGCGCUGAUUACGUCCCUGCCCUUUGUACACACCGCCCGUCGCUACUACCGAUUGAAUGGUUUAGUAAGGUCCUUGGAUUGGCACGAUUGCAGCCGCAAGGCUCAGACGGUGCUGAGAAGACGACCGAAC